CCACAUGGACGGAGUCUCUCAGGUUUAUUUAAUGGUUUAACAUCGUCCCAAAAUAAUUAACCGGCGAACGACCAAACAUCCAUCACGGCUACAGCUCCAUAUAUCAAACAGCCGACGCCGGCCUCGGCGUAGAGAGGCUGAACGGAGAGCGGAGCCACUGCUGAAGGAUUCUGAUCGAGUGAGGCCUCCCACUGGCAGGAGCUCAUUUCGUCUGGCUGGAAUUACAACAACCCCGCGUUGCCACGAAGAGAUGGAACUUGAACAGGCUCGCUGAUAGAGAUUAUCAGCUGUAAAUUAAGGUGAGAGGGUGGUGCAGCUGACACUCUGACCUGAGACUACAUCUGCCGUCCCCUCGAGGGGAACGAGCGCUCCCAGAUGGCAUCAUCGUAUCAUCGGAAAUCAUCGUGAUUGUUGACGAUCAGGCUCAUUUUCUCCAGUCAGUGAUUAAAUUAAA
Molecule: non-coding RNA, 454 nt
Organism: Paralichthys olivaceus (Japanese flounder)
Lineage: Eukaryota; Metazoa; Chordata; Actinopteri; Pleuronectiformes; Paralichthyidae
Source: RefSeq, a predicted model, not a curated record